This 376-nucleotide unclassified non-coding RNA is filed under the name soil metagenome. Its description in RNAcentral is "partial contains 5.8S ribosomal RNA, internal transcribed spacer 2, and large subunit ribosomal RNA". The stretch from base 1 to 120 matches the Rfam family "5.8S ribosomal RNA", at positions 35 to 154 of the family's 154-position model. The record is from RNAcentral.
GAUGAAGAACGUAGCGAAAUGCGAUAAGUAAUGUGAAUUGCAGAAUUCAGUGAAUCAUCGAAUCUUUGAACGCAUCUUGCGCUCCUUGGUAUUCUGAGGAGCAUGCCUGUUUGAGUGUCAUUAAAUUCUCAACUACACUGACUUUGAAUUGGUGUGGCUUGGAUUUGGGGGGAAAAUUGUUGUGGGCUUUUUGUAUAGUCUGCUCCCCUGAAAUUGAUUAGCGGUACCUUUGUGGAACUGUCUACAGGUGUGAUAAUUAUCUACAUCUUAGACAUCUGCUGGAAUGCUGCUCACUAAACCUUACUUGUAUUGACAAUCUUGACCUCAAAUCAGGUAGGACUACCCGCUGAACUUAAGCAUAUCAAUAAGCGGAGGA